This is a long non-coding RNA of Cimex lectularius (bed bug), 410 nucleotides long. RefSeq lists it as uncharacterized. The record is from RefSeq and is a predicted model, not a curated record. The transcript is spliced from 3 exons. NCBI's taxonomy places the organism in Eukaryota, Metazoa, Arthropoda, Insecta, Hemiptera, Cimicidae.
UCUACACUCUUAGUAUCAAAUUUCAAAUUUUUUCACUCGCACCGUCACCGCAUCUAAGUCGAUUCGACAAGGAUUAAUUUUUUGAAUCCGUGCCGAACCGGAUUAUCCCGUAUGGAAGGGCGGGGGCGGGAGCUAUCGGGAUAUAACGACAGCGGAGGAAGAGCAUCAGACAUAAAAAAAACAAAAAAACAACACGAUGCGUCUAUUACUGCUUGCUGCUUUUCUUUUUUUUAUGGCGAUGCAAUUUGGCCACGGCGAAAAUCCGCCUCGGAGGCCGCCAACCACGUCAGCGUAAUAAUGAAACGAGCAGAGACUCAUAACGCAGAAUGGGGUGGUUUUCCAUCAUUGGACCGGAACGGACAACAAAUUGUCAAAAACAAUGUAAAAUAUAUGCACAAACUUUAGUCUGA